UAGCCUUGACAUUGAUUGAACACACUAGAGAUAGAGUGGUGCCCUUCGGGGAACAUGAAAACAGGUGCUGCACGGCUGUCGUCAGCUCGUGUCGUGAGAUGUUGGGUUAAGUCCCGCAACGAGCGCAACCCUCGUCCUUAGUUGCUAGCAGUUCGGCCGAGGACUCUAAGGAGACUGCCUUCGUAAGGAGGAGGAAGGUGAGGACGACGUCAAGUCAUCAUGGCCCUUACGGCUAGGGCAACACACGUGCUACAAUGGUUAGGACAAUGAGAAGCGAUACCGCGAGGUGGAGCAAAUCUAUAAACCUAAUCUCAGUUCGGAUAGCAGUCUGCAACUCGACUGCUUGAAGCUGGAAUCACUAGUAAUCGUAAAUCAGCUAUGUUACGGUGAAUACGUUCCCGGGUCU
This 406-nucleotide ribosomal RNA is filed under the name uncultured bacterium. Its description in RNAcentral is "bacterial SSU rRNA". It matches the Rfam family "Bacterial small subunit ribosomal RNA", at positions 976 to 1381 of the family's 1533-position model. The record is from RNAcentral.